AUUGAACGCUGGCGGCGGGCCUAACACAUGCAAGUCGAACGGUAACAGGAAACAGCUUGCUGUUUCGCUGACGAGUGGCGGACGGGUGAGUAAUGUCUGGGAAACUGCCUGAUGGAGGGGGAUAACUACUGGAAACGGUAGCUAAUACCGCAUAACGUCGCAAGACCAAAGAGGGGGACCCUCGGGCCUCUUGCCAUCGGAUGUGCCCAGAUGGGAUUAGCUUGUUGGUGGGGUAACGGCUCACCAAGGCGACGAUCCCUAGCUGGUCUGAGAGGAUGACCAGCCACACUGGAACUGAGACACGGUCCAGACUCCUACGGGAGGCAGCAGUGGGGAAUAUUGCACAAUGGGCGCAAGCCUGAUGCAGCCAUGCCGCGUGUAUGAAGAAGGCCUUCGGGUUGUAAAGUACUUUCAGCGGGGAGGAAGGGAGUAAAGUUAAUACCUUUGCUCAUUGACGUUUCCCGCAGAAGAAGCACCGGCUAACUCCGUG
RNAcentral lists this ribosomal RNA (490 nucleotides) under uncultured bacterium. Its description in RNAcentral is "partial 16S ribosomal RNA". It matches the Rfam family "Bacterial small subunit ribosomal RNA", at positions 30 to 507 of the family's 1533-position model. The record is from RNAcentral.